This 507-nucleotide ribosomal RNA is filed under the name uncultured bacterium. RNAcentral describes it as "partial 16S ribosomal RNA". It matches the Rfam family "Bacterial small subunit ribosomal RNA", at positions 28 to 507 of the family's 1533-position model. The record is from RNAcentral.
GACGAACGCUGGCGGCGUGCCUAAUACAUGCAAGUCGAACGCAUUUUCUUUCACCGUAGCUUGCUACACCGAAAGAAAAUGAGUGGCGACCGGGUGAGUAACACGUGGGUAACCUGCCCAUCAGCGGGGGAUAACACUUGGAAACAGGUGCUAAUACCGCAUAAUUCCAUUUACUGCAUGGUAGAUGGUUGAAAGGCGCUUUUGCGUCACUUAUGGAUGGACUCGCGGUGCAUUAGCUAGUUGGUGGGGUCACGGCCUACCAAGGCUGCGAUGCAUAGCCGACCUGGGAGGGUGAUCGGCCAACCUGGGACUGGGACACGGCCCAGGCUCCUACGGGAGGCAGCAGUAGGGGAUCUUCGGAAAUUGACGCAAGUCUUGCCGAGCAACGCCGCGGUGGUGAAGAAGGUUUUCGGAUCGGAAAACUCUGUUGUUAGAAAAGAACAAGGAUGAGGGUGGAAAGUUCAUCUCUUGACGGUAUCUAACCAGAAAGCCACGGCUAACUACGUG